UACGAAGGGGACUAGCGUUGUUCGGAUUUACUGGGCGUAAAGCGCGCGUAGGCGGAUCGCUAAGUCAGGGGUGAAAUCCCAGGGCUCAACCCUGGAACUGCCUUUGAUACUGACGAUCUGGAGAUCGGGAGAGGUUGGUGGAAUUCCCGGUGUAGAGGUGAAAUUCGUAGAUAUCGGGAGGAACACCGGUGGCGAAGGCGGCGAUCUGGGUAGAUACUGACGCUGAGGUGCGAAAGCGUGGGGAGCAAACAGG
Molecule: ribosomal RNA, 253 nt
Filed under: uncultured bacterium
Lineage: Bacteria
Description: partial 16S ribosomal RNA
Rfam family: Bacterial small subunit ribosomal RNA
Source: RNAcentral